UACGAAGGGGGCUAGCGUUGCUCGGAAUCACUGGGCGUAAAGCGCACGUAGGCGGAUUGCUAAGUCAGGGGUGAAAUCCUGGAGCUCAACUCCAGAACUGCCUUUGAUACUGGCGAUCUUGAGUCCGGGAGAGGUGAGUGGAACUGCGAGUGUAGAGGUGAAAUUCGUAGAUAUUCGCAAGAACACCAGUGGCGAAGGUGGCUCACUGGCCCGGUACUGACGCUGAGGUGCGAAAGCGUGGGGGAGCAAACAGG
RNAcentral lists this ribosomal RNA (254 nucleotides) under uncultured bacterium. RNAcentral describes it as "partial 16S ribosomal RNA". It matches the Rfam family "Bacterial small subunit ribosomal RNA", at positions 524 to 776 of the family's 1533-position model. The record is from RNAcentral.